Olea europaea var. sylvestris is the source of this 370-nucleotide long non-coding RNA. RefSeq lists it as uncharacterized. Lineage: Eukaryota; Viridiplantae; Streptophyta; Magnoliopsida; Lamiales; Oleaceae. The record is from RefSeq and is a predicted model, not a curated record. The transcript has 3 exons.
UGAUGGCUGUACGUGUUGGCACCCAAUUCCUGCUUUAAUUCAUAAUCAUUCCUAUCUUUCCAUUUUAUCAACUCCAAUUCAAAUACAGAGAGUCAGAGUUUGCUCAAGCAUGAACAGGAUGGGAACUGGAAGUUGUAACAACUCCAAUACAAUUCCACUACUCACUCCUUACAAAAUGGGAGAGUUUGUCUCUCUCACAGAGUAGUUUUAGCACCAUUAGUUAGAAACAGAUCUUACAAUAAUAUUCCACAGCCACACGCGGCAUUAUAUUAUUCACAGAGAACUACCAAAGGUGCUCUCCUUAUUACUGAAGCAACUGGAGUAUCAGCUACUGCACUAGGUGGAUUCCGAGAUACACCUGGAGUUUGGA